Molecule: ribosomal RNA, 488 nt
Filed under: uncultured bacterium
Lineage: Bacteria
Description: bacterial SSU rRNA
Rfam family: Bacterial small subunit ribosomal RNA
Source: RNAcentral
GAUGAACGCUAGCUACAGGCUUAACACAUGCAAGUCGAGGGGCAGCGCAGUGUAGCAAUACAUGGGCGGCGACCGGCGCACGGGUGCGUAACGCGUAUCCAACCUUCCCGUUACUCAGGGAUAGCCUUCCGAAAGGGAGAUUAAUACCUGAUGGUGUUUGAAUUCCGCAUGUUAUUCAAACUAAAGAUUUAUCGGUAACGGAUGGGGGUGCGUGACAUUAGAUAGUAGGCGGGGUAACGGCCCACCUAGUCUACGAUGUCUAGGGGUUCUGAGAGGAAGGUCCCCCACACUGGAACUGAGACACGGUCCAGACUCCUACGGGAGGCAGCAGUGAGGAAUAUUGGUCAAUGGGCGAAAGCCUGAACCAGCCAAGUCGCGUGAAGGAUGAAGGUUCUAUGGAUUGUAAACUUCUUUUGUCUGAGGGUAAAAAAAGCGGACGUGUCCGUUCUUGCAAGUAUCAGACGAAUAAAGCAUCGGCUAACUCCGUG